RNAcentral lists this ribosomal RNA (396 nucleotides) under uncultured bacterium. RNAcentral describes it as "partial 16S ribosomal RNA". It matches the Rfam family "Bacterial small subunit ribosomal RNA", at positions 523 to 918 of the family's 1533-position model. The record is from RNAcentral.
AUACGUAGGUGGCAAGCGUUGUCCGGAUUUACUGGGUGUAAAGGGCGUGUAGGCGGAGAUGCAAGUCAGGAGUGAAAUCUAGGGGCUCAACCCCUAAACUGCUUUUGAAACUGUAUCCCUUGAGUAUCGGAGAGGCAGGCGGAAUUCCUAGUGUAGCGGGGAAAUGCGGAGAUAUAAGGAGGAGCACCAGUGGCGAAGGCGGUCUGCUGGGAGACAACUGAAGCUGAGGGGCGAAAGCGUGGGGAGAAAACAGUAGUAGAUGCCCGGGGAGUCCACGCGGUAAACGAUGAAGACUUGGUGUUGGGGGAAUGGCGACCUUAGUGCCGCAGAUAACGCAAUAAGUAUUCCGCCUGGGGAGUACGAUCGCAAGGUUGAAACUCAAAGGAAUUGACGGGG